UACAGAGGUCCCAAGCGUUGUUCGGAUUCACUGGGCGUAAAGGGUGCGUAGGUGGCCAGGUAAGUUUGGUGUGAAAGCUCGGAGCUUAACGCCGAAAAGUCAUUGAAUACUAUCUGGCUGGAGGGUCGGAGGGGAGACUGGAAUUCUCGGUGUAGCAGUGAAAUGCGUAGAUAUCGAGAGGAACACCAGUGGCGAAGGCGGCUACCUGGACCGGUUCUGACGCUGAGGCGCGAAAGCGUGGGUAGCAAACGAGGA
This 255-nucleotide ribosomal RNA is filed under the name uncultured bacterium. RNAcentral describes it as "partial 16S ribosomal RNA". It matches the Rfam family "Bacterial small subunit ribosomal RNA", at positions 524 to 778 of the family's 1533-position model. The record is from RNAcentral.